AGGGGUAACAUAAGUGCUUGCACUUGAUGACGACCGGCGCACGGGUGCGUAACGCGUAUACAAUCUACCUUAUAGAGGGGAAUAGCCCAGAGAAAUUUGGAUUAAUGCCCCAUGGUAUUAUUGAGUGGCAUUAUUUAAUAAUUAAACAUUUAUGGCUAUAAGAUGAGUAUGCGUUCUAUUAGCUAGAUGGUAAGGUAACGGCUUACCAUGGCGACGAUAGAUAGGGGUCCUGAGAGGGAGAUCCCCCACACUGGUACUGAGACACGGACCAGACUCCUACGGGAGGCAGCAGUGAGGAAUAUUGGACAAUGGGAGCAAUCCUGAUCCAGCCAUGCCGCGUGCAGGAAGACUGCCCUAUGGGUUGUAAACUGCUUUUAUACAGGAAGAAAAAGGUGUACGUGUACACUGUUGACGGUACUGUAAGAAUAAGGAUCGGCUAACUCCGUGCCAGC
This 452-nucleotide ribosomal RNA is filed under the name uncultured bacterium. RNAcentral describes it as "bacterial SSU rRNA". It matches the Rfam family "Bacterial small subunit ribosomal RNA", at positions 65 to 512 of the family's 1533-position model. The record is from RNAcentral.